CUGCUGGGGUCAAUGUUGUCUUGUGUCCAAGUGUCUCUGUCAAUGGUGUCAUUGGAGAAGUCUUUUGAGCUUGUGAGAGGACUUGGAAAAUGGCUGCUUGGUGAACCUGCAUCUGUUUUCUGAACAACAGGGUGGAAGUGGUAAGGGAACGUGAGGCAAAGGCUAUGGGACAUUCACCGUCAUCACUCACAGCGUGUGACAUGACUGCACCUAUACCACAUGGCACCUGUCCCUCCCAGGCCAUGCCACAUGAAGCAACAUACGAAACAAUCACAAGGUGAGGCAUCGCUGGAUGGUGUGGAUCAUAAUGUAUAGAGUGCAUUGCAGCCCUUCGAACCGCACCGCACAACAACCCCCGAUUUAACCCUAGACUCAUCACAGGACAAUUUACAAUGACCAAUUAAUUUGCUAACGGGAUGACUUUGGACUGGAGGACCCUGAGAUAACACUGGGAGGACAGAAGACGUCGGGAUUGAACUCUGACACCCCGAACUGGAACAGCGUCGCGCUAGCCGCUACACUACCGUGAGGCCCAGGCUCACGCUCCCACACAGUGCCACUCAGUCCUGCAGUCUGGCGUCCUGCGCGCACCUCAGGGUCUUUGGCAUCCUAGGAAUUCAGUCGCGGCAAGCAGCAGUCCAGGUCCUCUGGAAUCCGCCUUGCCAGCCCAGACCCUGAACCUCCACGGUCAUGCCCCAAGUGUGGUCACGGAGGAUGGCCAAUUGCUGGAGCCCGAUGCAAACACCACAGAGACUACAGACCUACUACCACAGCCCCUGUAUACCAGACCGUCAAAUAUCUGAUGGGUACGUGAUUUAAGGAGGAAGACCAGAGGCAUUGAUCAGAGCAUAUAUUGAGCCGAUGGUACAAUGAAUGUAAAGACAGCCAUGUCCCAAAUUGCACUUACUGUAUGUAUAAUGAGUAAAGUGUAAAUUUUAAAUUAUUGAGCUUAUCCACAUCACCAAUGACCAAAAAUGAGACUAUUUAACUCCCAAGGUCUGAGAUUCCUUCUUUAAAGCUCAGUGUUAUUUCCCUUACUGCACAGAGCAAGAUCAUUUGGUUUAUCGAGUGUAUCAUUGGCAAUCAUGAAAAUUUUUAAGCUCUCUUUUUGUUUAUCACUUUUACUCAAUUCUGGUUAAUUUAAUUAGCACUGUAUUUGCAAUGUCUUGUUUUGUAGCUGUUGGCUUUGGGGAUUAUUGCUUUGUCUGGACACCUUUGUUGUCUGAUUAGUUGUGCUCCAGGGUGUAUUUCAGGGGAAAAUACCAACCCCACUUUGCUGGGUCGUUGUGGCUCCUUAUCUGGCAUAAAUCAGACCAGAUUUUUCUGUGUAUCUUCAGAGAUAUCAGUUCAACAAGAUUUUGAAUAGUUUGCCUGAAUUCCUGUUAGUUUUUCUCAUUAAUUUCCAUAAUAAAUCUUUAGUUGUGUUUAAAUUGCUGAAGCCCCUGUAAUUCUUGCAGGAAUUCGUUAGUGACCCUCACAAGGAAUUGCAGUACGUUGGUUGAAAGAGCAUGCAAGCUUCAUAGAGACAGCAUCAAGUUCAAGAUUGAACCCUGUUCUCUAGAGCUGGGCAUCAAAGCUACCUCCUGUGCCUCCACACUACCCAUCUUCCUCCUCCUUUAAGCCUACAAGGUUUCAGUCACC
This is a long non-coding RNA of Mobula hypostoma (lesser devil ray), 1641 nucleotides long. RefSeq lists it as uncharacterized. The record is from RefSeq and is a predicted model, not a curated record. NCBI's taxonomy places the organism in Eukaryota, Metazoa, Chordata, Chondrichthyes, Myliobatiformes, Myliobatidae. The transcript is spliced from 3 exons.